Arachis duranensis is the source of this 723-nucleotide long non-coding RNA. RefSeq lists it as uncharacterized. NCBI's taxonomy places the organism in Eukaryota, Viridiplantae, Streptophyta, Magnoliopsida, Fabales, Fabaceae. The record is from RefSeq and is a predicted model, not a curated record. The transcript is spliced from 2 exons.
GUUCUGACAACUAUGAGCCUAACCAUAAUUCAGCCCUAAUACCCCUUCUUCCUUCUCCUUCUCCUUCUGUAACCAAAUCACAAAGAAGCUUCCAACCAUGAUUCCACCCCUUGGUCAUCGCUUCCCAUUAAAGCUCAUGCCUAGGUGUUGAAGAAGCAAGAAACCAACGAAGCUCUCUUCAUAACCUCAUCUCCAAUUCAUCUAUAUAAACCCUCUUCACUUCAAAAGAAAGGAAAAUGGAAUGAAGGCAGCUUCUUCUUCUAUGAACGCUUGAUUCAUUUGGGUCAUUAGAGACACGCAAAAAUAGAAGGAAGGAACAAGAGAGUGAGAGCGACAGAGAAUCAAGGAAGGUGUUGACCAAAGCUAGGAGGAAGCUCCACCAUCUUCAUCAACCUGUUCUUCAAUUUUUCCUUGUCUGCAUAAGAUUCCUUCAAGGAACAGCCGUGUAUUAAGGCUUGAAAAGGAGGAACAUCUUUCUUUUUAGGGCUGUAAUCAUCAUUCGUACAAGUGGUGAUGCUUGGUGACAAAAUCUGAUUUGUGGUGGUGAUAGGAUCUCUUGCUAUUAGGAAAUCUCAUAAACUGAAUUUUAGUAGUCUAAGACAAUCAAGAGGCAAGGGAUUAGGUGAUUAGAUUAGAUAUAUGUGUACCUCUUAAUUGUGAUUUUGUUGUUGAUGAUGAUUCUGUAUGUUGUAUUGUAAAUGCUACUGAAAUUUUGUAGAGGAA